AGUAGUUUGAUCAUGGCUCAGGACGAACGCUGGCGGCGUGCCUAACACAUGCAAGUCGAGCGGAGACAUAGGGCGGAAAGCUUCGGCUGGAAGACUUAUGUUUUAGCGGCGGACGGGUGAGUAACGCGUGAGCAAUCUGUCCUUCACAGGGGGAUAAGAUACCGAAAGGUGUUCUAAUACCGCAUGAGACCACAACGCCACAUGGCGAAGGGGUCAAAGGAGCAAUCCGGUCUGAGGUGAGCUCGCGUCCCAUUAGGUAGUUGGUGAGGUAACGGCCCACCAAGCCGACGAUGGGUAGCCGACCUGAGAGGGUGAUCGGCCACACUGGAACUGAGACACGGUCCAGACUCC
RNAcentral lists this ribosomal RNA (351 nucleotides) under uncultured Coriobacteriales bacterium. RNAcentral's name for it is "bacterial SSU rRNA". It matches the Rfam family "Bacterial small subunit ribosomal RNA", at positions 1 to 339 of the family's 1533-position model. The record is from RNAcentral. Lineage: Bacteria; Bacillati; Actinomycetota; Coriobacteriia; Coriobacteriales.